RNAcentral lists this ribosomal RNA (497 nucleotides) under uncultured bacterium. RNAcentral's name for it is "partial 16S ribosomal RNA". It matches the Rfam family "Bacterial small subunit ribosomal RNA", at positions 28 to 507 of the family's 1533-position model. The record is from RNAcentral.
GAUGAACGCUGGCGGCGUGCCUAAUAAAUGCAAGUCGAGCGAACGGACGAGAAGCUUGCUUCUCUGAUGUUAGCGGCGGACGGGUGAGUAACACGUGGAUAACCUACCUAUAAGACUGGGAUAACUUCGGGAAACCGGAGCUAGUACCGGAUAAUAUUUUGAACCGCAUGGUUCAAAAGUGAAAGACGGUCUUGCUGUCACUUAUAGAUGGAUCCGCGCUGCAUUAGCUAGUUGGUAAGGUAACGGCUUACCAAGGCAACGAUGCAUAGCCGACCUGAGAGGGUGAUCGGCCACACUGGAACUGAGACACGGUCCAGACUCCUACGGGAGGCAGCAGUAGGGAAUCUUCCGCAAUGGGCGAAAGCCUGACGGAGCAACGCCGCGUGAGUGAUGAAGGUCUUCGGAUCGUAAAACUCUGUUAUUAGGGAAGAACAUAUGUGUAAGUAACUGUGCACAUCUUGACGGUACCUAAUCAGAAAGCCACGGCUAACUACGUG